Dromaius novaehollandiae (emu) is the source of this 7362-nucleotide long non-coding RNA. RefSeq lists it as uncharacterized. The transcript is spliced from 8 exons. The record is from RefSeq and is a predicted model, not a curated record. Lineage: Eukaryota; Metazoa; Chordata; Aves; Casuariiformes; Dromaiidae.
GCCCCGCCCCUCCGAGACACAGGCUCCCCCCGCCCCGCGAGACGCCCCCGCGGCCACUGCCGAGCGGGCGCGGGAAGCAUUAGAGGCGGGCGGGGCAGAGCGUCGCCAGAGCGGUUCCAUGGUGUAAUGUGUUGUACAUCCUCUGCCUGAGCCGCGGCCAGACACGCUCCUUCCUCCCCUCCCUACGUGCUGCUCCAGGGUCACAGCGCCGCGCUUAACAAUAACCCCUCUGCUUUGUCUUGAUUUUAGCCCGCCAGUCCUUUGCCCUGCUGGGGAGUGGCUGCCAUCGUCCUGUCUCCACGGGCCGAGGACGGUGCUGCGGAGGAGAGAACCCCAGGGCUGCCUCCAGCCGUCCCGAGAUGUUCCCGCUGGGAGGGAAAGGCGAGAUCAGCGUCCGGCCCUGAGGGAGGCCGCGAGGCCACCCCGAGGUCGGGGACAGGCCGCCCGGGCCAGGGGCUGCUGGACGCCGGGUUUCUUCCAGAAACGAGCCGGCUUGGAGACCAACCGGCCGCGCUGCCAUCGUCCUCCGGGUCCACUCGCAGAGGCCUCGCCUGGUCCUGCGCACGCCGGAGGCCUGAAUAGCUCAGGAUAAAAAUGGCCCUCGUGUCCAGAUGGAGCCCUGAAAACUCAUCCGUCCCGCACCCGCUUGCCGUCAGCAGGAGCAGUAAAUUAGCCGUCGCUGUAAUUGGUGGCAGCGCUACCGUUUCCACACAUUGCUCCCCAUCGACGGGAAGGAUAGCGGCCCAUCGCGUGGGCCUUGCGGUUCGAAAACGCUUCACGCAGCUCCAGCAAUGUGGGAAGGAGGCAAAACGCCGGGGUAACAAAGACGCCCGGUGUGAAACCGGAGCCCAGGUCACCCCGUGAGGGUCUGCGCUGCUGCCGGCGGCUGUGCGGGGCUGCCGAAGCGAGGCGGGAGCCCGGGGCUGCGGUGCCGUUCCUUCCUCGGGCGCACGGCCAUGUCCGGCGUCUCCCAGGCGUUCGCACACAAAACCUUGGCGGUUAGGGCUUCGCGUCUCCGCGUUCCAGCUCUGCAUGCAGCACGGCGAUAACUGCAUUUACCGGCAUUGCAACGCCAAACCCCGCACAAGCAGACGGCACUCGGGUAGCAAAAGUCCGUAGGAGGAUGUGUGAUCUCUGCAUUCAACCUUUUUAUCUACAGAUGAACGACAAAAGGAGUCUGACAACGCUGGGCCGCUCCAGCUAUUCCGUUCUCUGAAGUUACCUCAGUGCAGCGAGUGGUGGAUUAAAAUUAAUAAUGGCUUCUUGUGUGUGUAGAGGCUGUGGUAUAUUUAUAGCUCUGUAGUUAAGGUUUCCAUCUCACAUCCUAUUUUCAGGCUGCCAUUGAACUUUGUCAUUAAAAAACUGUUAAUUUUAACUUGACAUUUCUCAGGCCUAGUUUCACCCUUCGAAGAUGCUGUUACUUUAAAAGAAUUAAAAAUAACCCAUUUGAAGUAUUUUUAGUUACCCUUCUAUAAGAGUUGUUUCGUUUUGGUGCUUUGGAUUUUGUUUCUCAGCUGAGAACCUGGAAACACCCUUUAUUUACAUUUUUCAUAUGUGUAAGAGUCACUUCCCCUUGCACCAUGCUGCACAUGUUCCUCAUCUGAACUGCCUAGUCCGACAUGAGAUUUUAAGGCACAAAGCGAGGAGAAUGUCUCUUCUGGCUGAGCUAAAAGUCACGGCCCCUACACUGCUGUACAGUUACAACUUGUCAGAAUUAAACAAGGUAUUGCGAAGCUGAGGCAUUUUUGCCAAUCGUGUAUUGCAAUGUGAAAAUUUCAGCAGAUUGCCACGUACAUGAGUAGUAGCAGAGGUUAUUUCUAGCUAAGCCAUUUAAAUGCAUGUGAUCAUUUGCAAUCAGGUUCUUCAUGGUGUAGACAGGCAAAACGGAAAUAGCAGAAAGAACUAUGUAUCUAAACAGGAGAAAAUUGAUAGCAGUAAAUGACGAUAGCAUUGGACUAGCAGGGAGCUCUAGAAAUUAAAAAGCCAUAUAUUCUGGUCAGUCCUGGAUUAAUUCUGUUCCUGACCGUGCGAGCCCAGGUGAGAAGACACAAACCUUCAGGAAAUGCUAUUGUUGGUAGAGACCGUUUUGGCUGUUCUGCUCCUUCUUUGUGUCCCUUCCUAGAGCGUGCUGCUGCAUGACGCGAUGGCCUGGGACACCUCCCGCCCGUAUGAAACGUGGCCAAGAAGCAGAGGUCAGGCCUGAAAUAACAGAGGACUGCGUGCUCUGGGACUGACAGCUCUUAAUGUGAAGAAAGUAUUCAGCACUGGAGUUUCUGCUGCAUUAAUUGCCAUUAGUGCCGUACUUGGGGGAACACUAAAUUCAUUGCAAACCCUGAAUUUUCACUGUCUCUUAAUUCUUCCAUUUGUGCUUAGAGAUGACCAUUUGUGGAGGCAGCACGUUCCAAGCAACUGGAGCAGAGACAAGGACUGAUACUCAGCUGGCCCUUGGAUGUUUAAUUUAGCGAGAAAAAGCAGCAGAGGUCACACUCGUAACUGCAUAUUUAUGGUUCUCUUCUGGAAAUUCAUAAGCCAGUGGCCAAAAGGGCCCAAGGUUUUGCCUUGGCAGCACAUUUAACGUGGAGGCAUGUGUGUUAGGGCUGUCAGCUGAGACCUGCUCAGCCUCAGGCACUGUGCAUCCGGCUUCCCUCGCACACCCUCGCUUCAUUCUCCCACUUUGCCCCUGCCACCUACUCCUGAGACCCCAAGAGAAAUCUUCGCCUAAAAAUACUCUGGACCAAAGCAAAGGGUCUGCGAUGUACAAGCAGUUCGAUUUUCAGACAGUUCCUUGCCGGAGUUCUACAGCUCAUAUAACAAGAAAUGGACCCAAUCAAGCAGCUCUAGAAAAGAUUAAGAACCUGCUGACACCAUUUUUGUGCUCGAAUGGCAUUCUGGUAAGCAGAAAGGAAGACACGCUUCCGCCACGCUUUGGGAACAGGAAUCGAACGCAACAGCCUCGAUGACUUGGGGUUUCUCGUGAUGACCGUCAAAAUGAAGUCAUCAGUUUCCUGUCUCCAUUUUGGACCCGGCGUGCACCUCCUCGGCUGUGCCUGCUGCCUCCAGAGACGUGUUAGCAAGAUAAUGCUGGCAGCUCCACCGUAAUCGCUGGCCAAGAAAUAAUUUCUGAGACACAGCUCAGAAUCUUCUUACCCUUACUAGACCCUGCCACAGGCUCCUAUUUCCUACUCGUGGCCAAAAGCUACUUGAUGUUGGUGUAUUUAAUAGUUGAGUCGCUACCAGACAAACACAGUGUCGGCGGGCAAGCGUUAUCACGCUGCCUGUCAUCGUCUGAUUUGGAUUCGAAGAGUCAGCCCAGGGGAAUGAAGAAGGCAGUUUGAUUUCUGUGGCCAAUUCAUUCGCCGCUGAAACAGCCGACGGAGCUGGCUGGUUGUGCUCAGCAUGGUGAUGCUUACCGUGGAGCUGUGCAGUUCUCCGGGGAGCCAGGCUCUGGCUGUAAAACCCUGCUCAUUAAGAUCAUUAGAGAGCUGUCAGGUGGAGCAACUGGGAUGUCUUUGAUCUGGCAGAAUACCCUUCCUCCUGCUCCUAGGCUUUAGGAGCCAUCCCGUUCCCCAUAACAAUUUUUCCCAAGCCAUUCAAACAAUACUCAUUGUUUUUUUAUAGGGUGCAAUAACUUCUUCAGGCAAACUGGAGGUUGAGACAGCUAUAACAAGAUUAAUUUAUUAAAUAGAAACCCUGAUUUUUCAAUAAUUCCUUUAUAAAUAUGUUAGUGGUUUGUUUUGCCAAGAAAAUGACAAAAUGUGGCUAAUAAUCCCGAAGAUAUUCCUUAUAAAUCCACUAGGUGUCCUACUGUUUUCAAGUAAUUAGGCUCAAGGGUUUUUUUUUUUGUUUGUUUCCUAGCUUUGGCAGAGAGGAAUUAGUCUGAUUCUUUAGUGGAACUAGAUCUGGGCUUUCAGGUUGAAGAAACAUGUGUGUAUGUUUUUUGCAACACAGCAGGACACCUGACCCAGAGUGGCAGCUCUUUUGGCAAAUGCCACUAGUGUUUCCCACAGAGACCGUCUGAAGGUUAGAGGCUGGAAAAGAAAAAGGAAAAGAAUCUGCCUUCCUCCCUUGGGAGUGCUAAACGAGAUCCAGCAGAGCCAAAUCCUCUCCUUAGUCAGCCUCGGGCACCUAUUUAUAGGACCGCUAAAGUGCCUCCAAUGCUGACCUUAAAGGUAGUGGCAAGGUGCAUCCUUAAUCAGAGCCGCUCGCUGCCUGCCAGCCCUCGUGCUGCUCUGCGCCGCCAGCACAGCGCCCACUCGCUCGGUGCCCUGCCCCGCGCGCACAGCGGGGAGGUCAAAUGCAUGCAGAGAAGCAGCCUGCAGAAUAGCCAAAGGGUGAUUUUCUCAUCCCAGAAAAUACUGAGCGGAGCCAGAACUACUCAGUAGCAGCCAGCUGCUUGGCUGCUCCUUCGUCGUGCAACCUGGAGUGCGCGCACCACACCAAGUCGAGCUGUUCGGGAAACUGCACGUCCCUCAGCAACCUUGCGAUCUCUUUGCUCGCACUGAAUCCUGGCCUGAUAAUCUGGAUGUCUCUGAAACAGUCAUCGCUAUAGAUGUAUAAAAAGCAUUUUUCGUUUUUCCUGUGCUUUCAUUGGUCAGAGGCGGGUGUUUGCAAUGUAUCAGUGAGAGGUGACUGCAAAGUGAUUUUCUAGGUCUUGUCAUGGAACCACAAAUCACGUUCUGUAUAAGCCCUGUAGACUUAUCCCUCUGCCAAGCAGCGACUGUUGUGUUUGAGAAUUCCCCUGUCAUUUGCUCUGGUUUCACAGGGGUGCCACAUCUUGAAUUUACCCCAGAUCUACAGGAGGCAAAUGAGGAGAAAAUCAGGUUCAUCUUCCAUUUAAAAAAAUGCAGGAGACAAAGGUGCUCUCAAGCAAUGAGUUUAUCUCCUUUUCACUAGGUGCUUCAUGGCCAGAAAUACUGCCCGCUGCUCUUGGCUGUGCAAACAGGCACCAGGCAAGGUGUCAGCACCAGCUUAAUCACCAGCUGCAAGGGGAAGUCAGAGGGGGAACAACGGCCUUGUGUCCUUGGCCCACCAGGAUUCCUUGCCAUCAGGCGUUUUGCAUCAUGGGAAGCGCCUAGCAUCUGUCCUGUGCCAUGUGUUACAUUCCUGGCUCUAUUUCUUGCUCUUUGUGUUGAAGGUAUGACAGUCAUUUUCCUGACAACCCUCAAGAAGAAAAGAUGCUCCAGUCUUUUGACUGUAUGGUAUAUAUAGAUACCUGCUGUAGUACCAUCCAUAUGCAGCGUGCACCAUAUGCUCACUGUGAAAUAGAGUGUAACCUGGUCCAGCACGUUUGCUGCUAUACAUAACAAAUACCUCAAGCCUUGCCAUGAUUCAGUGCAUUAUGCAUGGGAGCCAUCUGGUCCUGUAGCUUAAGCAGCAAACUGAAAAUUUGGUAAAAGCACAAACAGUCACAAUGAGAGAGACUGAAAAGAUGUGUUGAUACUCCAAGCAAGAGUCUCCUUCUGCGGGGGCUCAUCUCAUAACCCAUUGCCUCUUCCAUGCUUCUUCCUCUGGAAAGCUGCAGUCAGACAGGUUGCACGCUCAGCUCUGUGAGUACGUACACCUUUGGGAUGCUAAGAGCGUGUUUCAUGUGCUUGAGCAAACCUUCUGGGACAGGAUUUUUCUCGCUAGCCAGCUGUGCAGUAAGCAAGACGCACAAGGUGUCUGGGGAACAGCGUGGUUCAUGGAGCCUGGCUUGAUCAAGGAUUCUGGCUGAAAGACGGUCCUUCUCAGCUUGCCUAGAUUUCUCAGCCCGGGAAUGGAGAUGAAUCCUGGAGGUCUGGGUCGUCAUGGCUGAAACGAGGAACUCGGAGCGACGGAGGGGCUGCUAGUGUCAAAGGCCAAGCAAGAAGUACGAGGAAUGCAGAGCCUGAAGUUUUUCAGCAGUCGCUGAAGGCAAAACCAUCUAAAGCUGUAGCAGAUGUUUGCUUACUUCCUGCCUGCUUAUCAGCCCUGCAAAGACACUUCUUUUUUGUACUUGUUAUGCCAAAUGUAACUAUGGAGAUCUAAUACAAGCUGCGCAAUAGCGAUACACCAAGAUAAGCAUAGUCAACACAAUGCAUGAAACAAGAAAAGAGUGAAGUUGUUGAAGAUGAAGAUAUGAGGGACUUUAUGAGGAGGACAGAUCUGCAGGAAAAAAGAUGGAUUUGAUGUAUGCAUUGCUGGAAAUUGCCUGAAGCAUCUGCGAACACACAACAAAAGCUCCAGGUUGUGGACCAGUUGCUAAGAAAUUGUUUAUAUCCCCUAAAUGUUCGUUUUGGAUUUGGCAGAGCUAUUACGGCAAAGGAAUACAAAUGUAAAGAGUCAAGGGAGUUCGGACCGCAAGAGGGGUCUGCGGAGGCCGGGGGCUCUUUUGGGUAAGCUGCACUGAAUCCUCCGAGAGCUGAGAAAAGGGCAGAAGCUUUGAUUUGACCUGUAUUCCUGGUGACUCACUCGUGAGGUUUCAGGUUGUUACUCUGUUUUGCCUCUGCUUCUGAGCAGUUGCUCACAUUUUAACCAAGCACAUGCUUACCUCACCACAGUAUAAUUAGGGACGAAUAUAAUAUAUGGAUAGACCAAUAUAAUAAGGAUAAUAAGGGAACAUUCCAAAGCAGUUACAGAAGAAAAGAAUCUCAGAUAAUUAGGAGAGGAGUUGGACACUGAUUUUAAAAAUACCCAAGAUAAAGUAACAGAUACUAAAAAUAUCUAUUUUGAGAUUAAAUCCUCAUGACUCAGUACUUGAGCCAACCCCCAUUCCUUAGGAAUUAGUAGGAAGAUUGUCUGAAUAGGGUAGACUGUGGCUUAUCUCCUUACUCUGGUGGUCUUACUCUUACACUUUAAAGAAGUAUUUGAUGCUGAAAGAAGAUAAGAUAGGCACAGGUCUGACUUAAUAGUGCAAUUACAAGGUUUUUGAAUAUGUUCUGAACCAGCUGUAGUCUUUGUAAAAUUGGUGGGUUUAUUUCUAGCUAGGAAAAAAUCUCUAAUAAUGAAAGAUGAGGGCCUUGAAUGAUAAAAUCACUGACAGCAAGGCCUGAGAUCUAGAGAAGAGAUGGCUCCUGGCUUUUAGUCAGCCAGGACUUAUUUUUUAAAUACCUGUACUUCUCCAGCUAAUACCAGAGGAAUGAUGAAUCUAGCCUGCAAAUGAAACACUGAAGUGCCAUUUCUUCUUCCUCUUCUUUUAUUUGUACUGUAUUUUCUGACUAGGUGAAAGAUAUCAAAAAUAUUUUGAAAUCCUUUCCUAAGGUUUCAGAAAAGCAGAAAAGCUGUGUUGUUAGAACAUCAGCUACAAUCUGAAUCAGAUUUUCAGUACAGAUGUGUCAGAUGCAAUUUCUUGGAAACCCUCCAUGACAAUUAGAAGAGUGACCAAAUGUUUUCUCACCAUACAAA